RNAcentral lists this ribosomal RNA (1336 nucleotides) under Salmonella enterica subsp. enterica serovar Kottbus. RNAcentral's name for it is "partial 23S ribosomal RNA". It matches the Rfam family "Bacterial large subunit ribosomal RNA", at positions 1488 to 2802 of the family's 2925-position model. Lineage: Bacteria; Pseudomonadati; Pseudomonadota; Gammaproteobacteria; Enterobacterales; Enterobacteriaceae. The record is from RNAcentral.
UGGCCGGGCGACGGUUGUCCCGGUUUAAGCGUGUAGGUGUGUGUUCCAGGUAAAUCCGGUUCACUUUAACACUGAGGCGUGACGACGAGGCACUACGGUGCUGAAGCAACAAAUGCCCUGCUUCCAGGAAAAGCCUCUAAGCAUCAGGUAACAUCAAAUCGUACCCCAAACCGACACAGGUGGUCAGGUAGAGAAUACCAAGGCGCUUGAGAGAACUCGGGUGAAGGAACUAGGCAAAAUGGUGCCGUAACUUCGGGAGAAGGCACGCUGACACGUAGGUGAAGUGAUUUACUCAUGGAGCUGAAGUCAGUCGAAGAUACCAGCUGGCUGCAACUGUUUAUUAAAAACACAGCACUGUGCAAACACGAAAGUGGACGUAUACGGUGUGACGCCUGCCCGGUGCCGGAAGGUUAAUUGAUGGGGUCAGCGCAAGCGAAGCUCCUGAUCGAAGCCCCGGUAAACGGCGGCCGUAACUAUAACGGUCCUAAGGUAGCGAAAUUCCUUGUCGGGUAAGUUCCGACCUGCACGAAUGGCGUAAUGAUGGCCAGGCUGUCUCCACCCGAGACUCAGUGAAAUUGAACUCGCUGUGAAGAUGCAGUGUACCCGCGGCAAGACGGAAAGACCCCGUGAACCUUUACUAUAGCUUGACACUGAACAUUGAGCCUUGAUGUGUAGGAUAGGUGGGAGGCUUUGAAGCGUGGACGCCAGUCUGCGUGGAGCCGACCUUGAAAUACCACCCUUUAAUGUUUGAUGUUCUAACGUGGACCCGUGAUCCGGGUUGCGGACAGUGUCUGGUGGGUAGUUUGACUGGGGCGGUCUCCUCCUAAAGAGUAACGGAGGAGCACGAAGGUUGGCUAAUCCUGGUCGGACAUCAGGAGGUUAGUGCAAUGGCAUAAGCCAGCUUGACUGCGAGCGUGACGGCGCGAGCAGGUGCGAAAGCAGGUCAUAGUGAUCCGGUGGUUCUGAAUGGAAGGGCCAUCGCUCAACGGAUAAAAGGUACUCCGGGGAUAACAGGCUGAUACCGCCCAAGAGUUCAUAUCGACGGCGGUGUUUGGCACCUCGAUGUCGGCUCAUCACAUCCUGGGGCUGAAGUAGGUCCCAAGGGUAUGGCUGUUCGCCAUUUAAAGUGGUACGCGAGCUGGGUUUAGAACGUCGUGAGACAGUUCGGUCCCUAUCUGCCGUGGGCGCUGGAGAACUGAGGGGGGCUGCUCCUAGUACGAGAGGACCGGAGUGGACGCAUCACUGGUGUUCGGGUUGUCAUGCCAAUGGCACUGCCCGGUAGCUAAAUGCGGAAGAGAUAAGUGCUGAAAGCAUCUAAGCACGAAACUUGCCCCGA